Molecule: long non-coding RNA, 14984 nt
Organism: Gallus gallus (chicken)
Lineage: Eukaryota; Metazoa; Chordata; Aves; Galliformes; Phasianidae
Exons: 18
Source: RefSeq, a predicted model, not a curated record
GUAGGGCUGCCUGCAAGCCAUGCUUUGCAUCUUCCCUCUUUAUCCAUUUUUUUUUUCCCUUUUAAAUUAUUCCAAAUAUGUUACAGAUUGUAUCCUGAUCCCUAAAAAAUACCACGUGGCCAUCUUUGUUUUUAGUGUGCGUGUAUGUGUGCUGGUCAAAAGCAGUGGCAGAACACAUUGUUAUGAAUUGGCAAUGUAGCUGAGAUUGGGUGACCUUGGAAAAGAUACUUGAAUUAUAUUGAUGGCCUCCUCGAUCUUGGGGGAGUUUUAAUUCACAUAUAAAAUUUCAGCCAGAGAAAAUUAGACGGAGAUUUGUUUUGGAGCUAAUGAGAGAAUAUAUGGCCAAGAAAAGGAGUUGCCUUCUCCUUCAUUACUCAUGUAAUGCAGGAAAGUAACUUUUUCCUAGCAGUGGAAUUUAAAUAUUAACAUGUCCAAAAUCAACAUACUUUUUUUUUUCUAUUUCUUUCUUUUUAAAAUACGUUCAUUUAAACUUAGAGUGUAUAAAAGACAUUCUGUCAUAUUCAAGACAUUGAUUUCUUUUAUAGAAAUUGAGAGGCAGCAGUUUCACGUGUCCUUCAGAACCCUAAAUCAGUUCUUAAUUUCUACUCCUUUUCUUGCUUUGCUACGCAACCUGUGCUUAUUAGCAAAAAAGCCCAAAGGCUUAUCCUGCUUGUGCCUGCACCGUGAGGGCUGCCCGCGCUCAGUGGACAGGUCAGGCUGCGUGAGCUGCCAGUCAGGGAGCUCAAGCUGUUCCCGUUAGAAGAUGCAGCUUUAUUUCUGAGAUUAAUCUUAAUUCUUCAUCUCUAAUAGCAUUUUCUGGUGUGAAAUCCUGGCUUUAGUGACAGUCAGCAGGACUCUGAGGACAUCCAAUCUUCUGAACUGUUAUUUAAGAAGCACAUCAUUAUUCUGCCGUACUGCAGUACUUUUGCUUGCAAAUAGAUGUUACAUCAUAUGCUGUUUGAGUAGUACAUUUCUGCCUGUGAAAUGUAAAAAGGAGCAGAUAUCUUAAAAGAACAUUGCCAAUAAAACUCUAAAAUCAAGAACAGCUAAAGGUGAAGCUCGCACUGGUACUUAUAUCUUGUUUGUCUGUACUGAAUUAGCUAGCUGACCUUUCCUAAGCAUUAUAAUGUCCAAGUGAUUGAAGUGCCAGAACUCAAAUUUUAUUUCUCCUUGUAGGACAUCUGACCUCUGUCUGGAUGUGUAGGUUUCCUUUACAUUGUGUUUCCAAGAUCAGGUACUUUUAUAGGUACAUGGCUUCUGUAUUACUAUAUAGGGGAAUGGAGAAAAUGUAUUCGAGGUCACUCAGAAAUGAAUUCAUUAAUAGACUGCAAUGCAUGGAGCUCACUGUAGUACAUGACAUUGCUUCACUCUAUGCCAUCACAGCGCUCUUCCUUCUCCACAGUCAAUACUGGAACAAACUUCAUAGAAUCAUUUGAGUUGAAAGACACCUUUAAAGGCCAUCUGGUCCAACUCCUCUGUAGUGAACAGGGACACCUAGAGCUUGGCAGGUUGCUCAUAGCCCCAUCCAACCUGACCUUGCAUGUCUCCAAGGAUGGAGCAUCCACCACCUCUCUGGGCAACCUAUUCCAGUGCCUCUAAGUUAAAGAAGUAAAUCAACUCAGGUUCCAGAGUCUAAAACUUUGACUUUUGGCUGCCCUUCCCUGUAAUGGGACUAACAAAUGACAAUCUUCAUACUGUUACCACUGACAUUAAGGAAAAUUUACACUGCCUUCCACUCAUCUGUCAUUUGGAAAAACUGAGGACGCUUUGGGUGACGUGCUCUGGGAAGAUUCCUUCUUUACCAAACAAUCAAAAAUGUUCCCAAUUCUUUUCCAGAUGUUGAUGGAUUUUUUUAAAGUAUUUUAUGGGGAAAAUAAAUACAAUUAAAUGAAAGCUGCAUUUAAUUAAACAGCUAUUUUUAAAUCCCAGUUCUCCCAUUUUAAUGAGAAGCAGCCUGUAAAAUAUUUUGGAUAAAUAUUUUGAACAAAUAUUUUCUUUAGGAUGUGGAAUUGCUAAGUAGUUUUAUUGUCUACAUGAAUACUUGGGUACCAGCAUUUCCUCUUUGGGAUCCUUAUUUUCAUAUUUAAAACAGCUCAGGGGUUUCCAUGGGCUAUGGGGUCUAUCAUGAAAUGCGCUGUAUGGUCUGGGCUUUACUCUGCACAAGCUGGCAGACAGAUUGCAAAUAGAAAAAAAAUAAUCUAUAUUUGGCAGAGAAGAUUUUAGCUGUUGAAGUGAAUUCCACUAACCUGUUGUGACAUUUUGAUUUCUGUUUUUGUUUUAUGUUCUGCACGAAUGUGUAAGUUUCCAAUAUACCCAGGAUGUGGAGUAGAGCAUGGGUGAUUGCGCCUUACCUCUCUGGGAUGGACAGGUGUUGAUGAGAAGGCAUUAUAUCAUAUCACUGGUAUGAUAGGGAAAAAGAAAAUUGAAUGGGAAUUGUUCCCCAGGUCAGGGGCACCCUUGGGAAGACGUCUGCACAUUGAAAAGCCAUGCCCCUACCUUUCCCUCAAGAGAAAAAUAAAUAGUGGUAGCUCAACAUGGCAAUUUCUACUACAUUUGUAUUUAAUGCUUUCUCUUCUGAGCUCUCUUUACUUAGCUAGAAAGCAUUCUUCUCUUCUUGGGCUGUAAUUAUGAAUGUGUUUUGUAGGUUUUCUCAAAUGAAAAAUAAUACUUGUACUUAAAGUUUAUAUCUGCAGAAAAUAUUUCAAGGUAUUAGUUAAAAAAAUACAGGUUCUUAGCUGUAAUGAGCACUGCAAUGCAGCGAGGGCUUGGGGAAGGUGGCAUUAAGCCAUAAUGUACAACAGACAUGGAUCAUUUUACUGCUCUUUGACCUGGUGAAUGAGCUGGGAGAAGUGCCCUUUGUAGAGCCUGCGUUAAGCCUCAGAGCUGUCCUCACGAGUUAUGCUGCAAUAAAGUGCUAACUGGGCACAGACUCAGAGCGAGGCAGUUGUGGGUUUACAGAUGCGGCAGCACUAAAGUCAGUGUAGUUUGAGGUCUGUGUAGGGUGUGAGAGAGCACACCCUAUUGCCUUGAGAAGCUAGGAAAAGUGCAUGGGAAUUUUGGAAGAGGGCCCUCUGUGUUUUGUUAGACAAAUUGCUCAAGCAGUGAGUAUUAAUUUCAUUGUGCCCCUAACAAGCUUGCACCCAGACAAUAUUUUCCCAAUUGCAGUGGUGUGUCUCUUCUGAGUGCCCAAAGCCCGUUGUGCUGCCCUAGGAGCCUGGCUCAGCCUGGGGCUGCUCUGAGCAUGCAACGACAAACCUCAGUGUCCUUAGGACAACUCUCACUCAUCACAGAUCAAAGUGGAGGCUGGGAGAAGAGGAGAACUGGAGCAGCACUCUCCUCCCCAUGCAGUACCAGGGCAUGUUCUGAGCUUUGCCCUUGUUUAUAGUUGAUGUAACAGCAAGAAGACAAGGUGCCAUUAGCUUUUGGUUGAAAGGUCAUUCUGAAGUUAUUUUCCUUCAAUUUGAAGUACUUCAACCAUAGAAAAGCAAAAUAAAAUUUAAACAUCUGCUCUAAGCAACUCCCCUCCCAUGACUGUAUCACAGAGAAUGAAGUUAAACAUUGAAUAAUUAUUGCAAAAUUUCUCAGACUGCUUUUCAGUCACUGGUGUCAAUGCUCUGUGUGAAUGAGAAUGAAUUCUUCAGAAGUUUAGGAAAGUGCUACAAUCAUAGGAGCUGUGGUCUUCAAAGCAUUGGCAGCCCAGGUCUGUACAUUGUCCAUUGCCGUUACAGAAAGCAGGACAGCGGAGAAUGGUAAGAGGAAAAUGAUUGUGAAACCGAUCCAUGCUGGGGCCGGGAGGAAGAGUGCUGUAUCCGGAUAAGUAACCUUAGUACUCUGAUCCACAAUUAAAUGUUAACAGUUAAUUUUGAAAAGCACAUUACAUGGAUGGAAACAUCUCAUUGCAAUGAUUUCUAAAUAUCUUCAUUUUUUUAAAUCACUCCUGGCUGAGAAUAAUUGGUUCAGCCAAGUAAUGCCCAUUGCUUUUCUUUCUGAUUUUUUUUUUUGGUCCUUUAUACUCUCUUCCAAACCAAACCUAUUAAUACCAGUGAGAGGUGAAUAACUUAUGUUUGUAUUUCUAUGUUGGAACCCAGAUUUACAUCUUGGUUGAAAUAAAUAACAAUCUUGUCCAUUUUAGAUUCUCUGCCCUCAUUUCAACCAGAAGAACACUUUUGUGGAGCUUGAGACCUUGGCUGUAUGUUUUCCUUUCUAAGGGAGCUUAAAAAGCCUAUUGUUUUAAUACAUAGAGCAGAACAACUGCAGUUAACAUAGUGUUGGGCAGAAUUUUGUUUCCUCCUUUAGAAAAACCUUUGAGUUAUGUGCUUUCCUACUGGGAUGAGCAUCUCCCACAAGGCCGUCUAUGAAAUCCUUAAGGUCAAAACUGCUGUUUCAACCUUCUGUGCUGCAUGAAUGGGUAUUUCCAGGUGGAUUUAUUUUCAGAAGUCCAUAACCCUUCCUUUCCUGCUGCCCUUGGGCAAGGCAAGCCAUCUGCCAGGAGGAGCUGACCGCAGCCCACGUUUUCUUAAACCACCUGGAUUUAAAACUGCUGGCAGGAACUCUCAAGAAGAUUUUUUUGAGACCUCAGCUUAAAGAGAAGAAGGUGAUGGGCUACUGAAAACCGGUGCAGAAAGGAGUAAUGCUGAGCAAAUGGAGAUGCGCUGCUCAUAGUGGUAACUCAGGGACUAUAUUUGUUGUCUACAAUUCCAUUCAGAUCAGGGCAGCAUUCCUAUUCACAUACCAGAGGUGUCCUAAUUUAUUUUAAACACAAAGGAAAUCACUGAGACUUACAUGAGGUACAAAUGAGUAUAGGGUUUCUUGCUAAGAUUAUUCUAGUAAUAAAACAGUAACUGUAUUGCAUUCAGUUGCAAAAUGAAAUGACAGCCUGCUUUCCGCUUUUCCUCUAUUCUGUAAUUAACAGACUUUCCAUUACUACCUCAUCAAGAUCUUUUCCAAGUGAGAUUGCAAGGACAGCCAAACACAGGCACUCCCUGGCAGUGUUCUGGCUCUGCUGUGGACCUAUCUUCACCCAAAAUGUCUCCUGGCAAUAAAUCUUGAUGACAAAGUUGAGGAUAAAAUUAUCUUCCUGGUGGUAAUUUCCCCCCUCUCCUCCCCACCAAACCCCUUGAUACAGCCCACUCUUAUUCUUCCAGCGAUUUCACUGGAUUAGUGUGGAGAAAUUCAUACAAAAUUUGUUAUGGUCAGAUAAGGUUUUUAGGCAAAUACUUUAUAGCAAAUGUUGCACAUUUGCUGCUCAUUUUCAUGGCUUUUGAGUGCUGUCUGUAUCUGGCUAACAUUGCUUUGCUCUUAAUCUAGGACUGCAUUGUUUUACCUGUGAUUCUUACUUCAAUAUCUAUAUUGUGAAGCUCUGCAACAAAAUUUGGAUUAUGGGUUCAGCAGUACCUAGCAUGAGCGAACCAAGAGCAGCUUGGACGUUAGGAUUUUGACCUGUGGCGAUGCCUCAGUACUUUGGACGUUGAGCUGCGGCCUGCUGUCCCGAAAGUGCCCACUGCAGGCGUCCAGGCGGACGACGUCGCUCCCCUCCCGUGCAGCCACCCCACAGUUGCAGGCAGUGGCAGAGCGGUGUCCCCCGCAGUCCCACUGACGGACGUGCACUUCGAAUGCCCGCGACGUGCUCUGGCACAAAAGGAAGGUGCCGAUUUUAUAGUUAUCGUAACGCCUAAAUGAGGAGAAACAAAGCCAGGGUUGAGAGACCCAUCGCAUCCACAUGGAGCACCAUAGCUGCCUUGGAAGGGCCUGGACAUGGAAGCAUCUCUCCAGUACCAUGAGGAAGUUGACGCAAUCGCUGUUAUUAGUUGGGAGUGCAGAAGAAUUCUUGAGAAAACCUGGUUGCUGUCUGUGAGCUGCUGCUAUGGCAACAGAAUGAAAGCCAUAGAAAAAUGUGUACCUGAAAACGCAGCAAGAAUUUAAACUCCAACUGCUUUUCUCUGCAAGAAGCCACAUUUGACAUUAUACUUCAUCUUGAAAAACUUAGUGAAGUUGGCCGUAAAAUGAUAUGAUAUUGAAUGGUUUUGCCUCAUCUUAUUUUCUAAUCAGGUACAUAAAUCCUAAGUAUGCUGUGCAGAUGCUUCUGCUAAGACUGAUUAGAAUUAAGGACAACAUAAAAAAUAAUCUUGUAAGAUCAAGUGCAUUUGGACCUCUACACUGGAAAGACUGAGAAGCCAGAAAUUUAGCAAGAAUCACCUUUCUCAGUUUCCUUUGACAGACAUUUCAACAGGAAGAGCCUGAAAGGAAGAUACUUAGAGAGGCUGAUGGAAAGUAAUGCAUUGAAAUGGCUGCAUCCAGAUUAAUCAGAUAUAUCUGGUAAAUAAGACUGUAUUAGCAUAUACAUUCCAGCAAUGGGAGUUAUUUACUGCUUAAUAAGCGCUGACAGUGGACCCAGUCCAACACUAUUGGAAGUCACUUACAGUCCUUCAGUUAAGUCAUGACAGAUUGCACAGCAUAUAACAAACUUGCAAUGUAUCUAAAUUGGAGCUUACAGCUGCCUUUGAAUUACACAAAUGGAUAAUUGAAUGUAAUCAGGACUCCACAGAGAGAGGAUGGAAGAGGCGCCAAAGAGGCAACUGACGGCCAUCCUGCCACAGCAGCAGAGCCGGUGCUAAUAUUACUGGAAUGAAAGUCUUAUCUUUAAGGACCCAUGCCCAGGAAAUGAAGAUGAGUUGUUCUUGUGACAAAGAAAGAGAGAUGAAUCUAUGCUUCUGGAAAACAUUUAUCUUUCACUAGUUUAUUAUAACAAGGUGCGAUUGUUGCUUGGAGUUUUCAAGGCUAUCCCACCACAUGGCAGCCUGCAUUCUCAGCUGACUCCAUAUCAUAGAAAAUCUGUUCCCAUGAGCUCAGCAAAUGUUUGCAUGGUGGACUGGCAUAGACUGUAAGCCAAGAGCAAUAUGGGGAACGGAGCAGCACUGAGCCAUGAAGAAACUCAAAGUACUCCAUGUACGAGAGCCAACACAGCUGCUGGAACCAUAAGGAUUCAUCUAUGCAAGCUUGAGUGUGCAGUGAGAGUAUCCUCCCUGAUAGCAUCCCAGGGCAGUGACACUUGUUCCCAAAAUGAGGAGAGCUGCCAGAUUGGAGUACUGGGAGUGGAUGGAAGCACGUUUCUGACCCAGACAUCCAGUCCUGUGAGAGGUGGGGGAACUGAUGCUGCUCAGAUGUAAAUGUAAUGAGCGAGGAGCAGCCCUAAAAUGCACCCAGAGGAGCUUUCAGAUGGGAUUUGACCCCGCUGAGUGCCGGACCACGCGUUGCUGCAUUACUGUGUCUCCCAGCUGGAGGUGUCCGCUGCUUAUGUCCAGGUUGCAGUGAAAUCUAUGCCUUUUUACCCCUGUGUAAACAAGAGGAAGGAAGAACUUCUUUGUGCCAAGAUUGAGAUUUUGUGGUUGUAACCUCCCAUGUGCCCACCCAUCAUGAGAUGUUUCUCCUCCUGCAAUUGUCUCUUAGUCAGAGGUUUUUGCUCAAAUUAAAUGGAAAACCAAAUUAAACAAUGAUUUAAUUAAGUGGAAGAGAUGGAAUGUAGAGGCAGACUUAGAAGGUGAAGAUCUGAAAGAAGCAUAUUCUUCCAAUCGUGACAUCUAACAGAUGUAAUCCUUCAACAGCAAAACAGAGAUUUACUGUCAUUUUGGAGGAUAAUGAAGAAACCAAUGGCGUGUUGUUGAUCAUGAACCGGUACCAUGCUGGUGGCAGCGAGUGGUCACACACCAGGUCCUGAGCAGACGUUCGCUGCAGCUCCAGCGAGUCAAACCUGGUGCUGCGGUAUGGGCUGCGGAGAAUGCGAUGUCCAGCUGGAGAGCACUCGGGAGCUGAAAGGACAGUGAGCUAUGCACUGCUCCAUAGGAGUAUGUGGAUAGAGGCAGCCAAGCAUCUCCUACCUGAGGACUGAAAAGAUGUUAAGAAUGGCUGACAAAGGAGGUGACAACAAGAAGUCCCUGCAAGAAAGAAGCAGUGCAUCAUGGAAAAUGGCUCUUCAUUGGCUAUCAAAGCUGAAUUGCUCCAGAGUGAUUCUGCAGCUGAUCGUGUUUGGCAUGUUUCAGUCUCAGCAGUCCAAAAGCCAGCCUUUCAUCAACAGAAGCAUGCACUACAAGGCUUAUCGUCUCUCACUCAAAGCACGUUGUGAACAGGUGUAUAUUUCCUUCUGACAAACACCAGAAGAACCAGCUCUUAUGCCUGCCAAGUUACUUAAUCUGCAUGCUGAGAUUUGCCAAGGAUCAGGAAGAAAUGAGAAGUUGUUCCUUGUUGCUACAAUUGGAGAUGAAGCAAGAAACACUUUCCUACCCUUCUCCCUUGGAAAAAGGGCACUGGGAGAGAGACAGUGUCCAAGCUGCUGUGCUGCCUGGGAGCUGGAAAUAGCAGAUGUUAGCAGGCCAGAAGGGAUGAAAGCAAAGUCCUAGGAUGGUGAUGCAUGGCACAACAGCACCAAAACAUCACACAGAAGACCAUGUCACAAUUAUUAAUGCAAGAGGAACGACUCUUAUUUGUAUGAGAGAGAACGUACAAUUGCAGGUGCAGAGUAAUUCUAGCUGGAGGCUCGUUUUUUUUUUUUUAAUCCAAGCCUUUUGUAUAAUGCAGCAGUGCGUGCACAGCAAGGGGUACACUCUCAUGAUGAAAUUACACGUUCAACAAGCUAUGCCUCACAGUCAUGGAAUACGGUGGGCAUGCAACAGGGAGAGAGACUUCCUUCUGAUACACCUUCGUGAAAUGGAUUUGAAAUAAGUUUGAAAAUUUGAAAUAAGUUUUGAUCUGUAUCUGUACACCAGAUAUCUGUGAUAAUAUCAAUGUAUUUCCCCUUAAUGCCUACUUUUUCCCCAGUGCUGCAUCCCAGCCCUCAUUUUAUUCACUACCUUACUUCACUGGCAGCCCUAAAAGAAAUCAGAACAAGGCAGGAAGCUCACAUGUUGCUUUACAGUUUUGCUUGGGUCUCAAAUGGACCACGUGACACUGAUAAGCUGUCUAGAUCUUUAUUUCCCAUUUUCCUUAAUUAUGGCCAAAAUCACAUUGAUAAAAUCUUCCAGAUGCCUUAUCCAAGCUUCAGAAAUAAAUAACUCGUUGGGUUCACUUUUGAACUCACUCACAAAACAGAUCACUAGGGGUCACCAGAAAGAAGAAAAUAUUGUAUUUAAUCUGGAAUGCUUAGAAGUCCACUCACUGCUUUUCAGCUAAUCUUCUGUAGGGGAUAAUUUAGUUUUCAAAAACCAAGACAAAUUAUUUUUCUACAGACAGCAGGUAUUUCCUCCUAAUGAAAAUGGUAUUAUAGCAUGCCCAUGGUAAAAGAAGAGGAAAAAAAGGCUGUGUGCAAUUUCCCUUACAUAAUUGUAUGGUGAAAAAACACUCUGAUGUGAAAUUUUACUCCAAACUCAAAUGAGACACUCUCUGUUCUGUUUUACCACCCUGUGACAGCAUAGUUUCUAAUAUGGCCCUUUGAAUUUUAAUUUGUUUUAGAUGGGCUUCAACAAAGCAGUAAUGAUUUGGGAGGUGUAAUGCAAUGGAAUGCACAAUGACAGCAGAGUAGCAAGAUCCGAGACAGCAGCAAGUGAAAAUUCACUCAAACACAACAGCAGUGGACAAAGAAACAAUAGAAAGAAGGUGCUUACCUUCAAAAGGCCUCAGGUAUGCAGAACUCUCCAGCAAGAUACCUUUGCAUCCACUGCCAACCCUUCAAUGAGAUGAGGGAAGGAGUAGAUCCUGGCUCUAGUCUUUCCAGUCACUCAGGUACAUUGCAUGCACCUGAGCUCCACUGGGUUGGCCCUGCCUUCCAACCAGGUGCUUAAUCACUACUUCAAGCUGUGACUCAGCAUUUCCAGUACAGGGGGAUUUCUCCAAGGGUAAACAAAGGGACAGGCUGCUCAGGUAAAAAGGAUGUUUUGCUACACUUUGGUAAAAUUAAUAAAGAUCUGUCCAGAGGGGCUGUGGAUGCUCCAUCCAUGGGGGUGCUCAAGGCCAGGUUGGAUGGGCCCUGAGCUGCUUGCGGACACCCAGCCCACAGCAGUGGGUUGGAGCUUGAUGAUCUUUAAGGACCCUUCCAACCUAAGCCAUUCCAUGAUUCUCUGAUUCUAUAAGAUAGCACAGGUGGAGUUCAGUGGGCAUUCAAGGCAAUGAUUGGCUCAGCGCUAUUUUCUUGCUCCCUGCCCUGUUUUAUUCCUUCUCAGAGCUGCACAAAGGCAAAGCUUCUCCGUGAGUCUUGGAUGCCAUUGGCCAGUUUGUCUAAUGAAAACUGAGAAUAAGCUAAGAAGGACCUCUUUUACCCAGAUUCAUCUACUUUUCUGCAGUGGUUUGAAGCCUAUCGCAGCAGAAGCAGGAGGGCUUGAGAGCAGAGACUUCUUGUGCCCAGCAGAGCUGUUGGGUUUCUUUUCCUGGUGGUGCACAGAAAUGCACCUCCUUCUGUGCUUUGUCUUCUCCUCCUGUCUAAAUAAAACUGAUAUUGUUCUUCUCCUUUCCCACUAUUUUUUAUAGUUAAUGAAAAAGCCCACGAAAUACAACUACCCCUCAUGCUGCUGUUGCUUUUAUAUAGUGCCUUUUCCCUGCAUGGAUGCCAGAAUGCACUCUUAAAAUCAAACUAUAUGAAACAAUAAUUUCUACCAGAAUGGAAAAACAUGGCAGCAGAUAGCAGUGCACUUUAGCUCCUGAUAACACUUUGGGAAAUUAAGGUAGCUUUAAGGAGCAGGAAUAAUCCCAAGACCUCAAAGAGGUUAAAUGCAACAGUUCAUGCAACAAAAAGCAUAACAAUUCACAACCCUUUAUAUACAGAAUUUACUCAAAAGCUCCCCAUUUAUCUGCCUGCUGUGUGCCAACAGAUACCUUCUACCCCCACCUCUGGAGCUUUAAACCGAGUUUCCUGUAUUGUGGGCUCUUCCCUUCCAUGAGAUUGUGAUUUUUAUGAAAAACAAAUUAAGUUGUGUUUAUCUUAAUGCAAAAUACCCAUUUUCCUCAUGCUCUGUGUUAAGCACAAAGCAACAGGGUAUGCAGGUUACUCUGUGCCUUUUAUUUUCCAGAAAAGGACUUUUUCAUUAAAAAAAGGUUGACAAUCCAUGCGUUAGAACAAUUGCUUCAUAAGCACAAGUAGGCAUAAAUCACUUCUUUCUGCAGUCAGAUAUCAUUGAAAUAUGACAGUACUGAAAUUUAAUACACUUUUUAUUUAUUUUUUUCAUUCUUUAAAAAAAGAUGUACAUAUGGGCUAGGUCUGAUGGAGAACUUUAAGGGCUGAUUAUUUAAAAAGCUGUUAACAAAAAUGGUCAUAGAAAUGUGCAAGUUUUAAGAGCACCUGGGCUUUCUGUUGUUACAGGUUUCAUCUUUUGAAGGGAGGUUUGUGUGCAUGGGUGGUUGGUUUUGACCAAAACCACAUAUUGAUCAACUGAAUGGUCGGUCUAUCUGCCUGUACUGAAACGGAAAUUUUGGUAUAAAUAGCAAUUGUACAUAAGAGUACAGUUAUACUUAGAGAAUGAGUGGACCGAUGGUCCAUUGAACUUAUUUACACCUUUACAGUAGACAAAGACAUGGAAGAAUGACGCCGAAGCCCUCGUUCUAAGAAGUAUUUAAUUACUAAUGGAAAGUGAAACAGUUCAAAUAAGAGACCUACAGAUAUUCUCCCCUGGCAUAAUCGAUAGCCUAGUUCUGAGGGCACUUGCCUGUGACAGAAGUGAUUGAUUCAGCUCCUAUACACUAAAAUGCAACAUCUUUCCUGUCAGGAGUGAUUAAAAAACAUCAGGCCGUUGGUUAGCGCGCUGGGGUUCUCUCCGUUUUGUCUCAGUGGAAAAGUAAAUUCUUAAAUUGCUUUCAAUUGUUAAAGCAAUCAGAUAGAAAAAAAACUUCCUGCGUGGAUCAACAGCAGUUACCCAACCUGAGGUUGGUUAUCUCCGGGAAGUCCCACAGUUUGUAAAGUGCUAUGCAGAUGAUCACAGUGCAGAUUUGGGCUGUACCAGCUGUGAGCUGGGGAGGAUAUUCAGCAGCAAAAAUCCAGUUUAAUGGCUGGAUUUGUGAGGGGUAUUUAUGGUGACCUUCAUCAUUUUCCUUGCAGCAUUUCUACAGCACUAAUUUUAGCAAUAAUCACAUGAAACACUGAUAACAGCAGUGCCCACAGUGAUGUUGUCUCUGCUUAUGUAUACCCAUAACCAUCUGUCCUACCUUUUUUCAGCAUUGCCACGUUUUCGUUUUAUGUUCACUUUAGCCGCAUUGCAAGUAACAUAAGUAUUAGCAUAUGUUAAGAUUGAGGAAGGCACAGCUUAUCCCUGUGUGCUGGCCAGCUGCAGGGUUUUAAAUCUGAGAACCUCAGUGAGGGUCCUUCAGAAACCCUGUGCAUCACUGCCGGGGAGAGAUUUCUCACUGCUUAAAAGAGGCCAGAAUAAAGUUGUCUGCUUCGAGAGUGUUAAAAAAUAAAAGAAAAAUACACUGCUACUAACACCAGACUUGGGAAGAUGGCUUGCUUCCCAGCUAGUCUUUGUACUGUUUAGGAUUUUAUUUCUUCAACCAGCAAAGCCAACCCACUGGAUCUUCUUUCUGAGUCCCUCUGUGCCCCGUCCCUGGAGCUGUAAGGGGUGAGUGGGGACAAUGCAUCAGGUCCCCUCGUGUCCCAGCAGCUCCUUGUGAGAGUGCUCAGCCUUCCUGGGAGGCAACCCGCAGGCUCAGCCCUAAGACAGAAGAUGAAGUUGUUUUGAAACAGCAGAUGAAUAAUAUUGUCAGGAGUCGAUUAAUGAAAGAAAGUAUCUACAUGCCCGUGCAAGGAGUGCAGGUAAUAGCAAACAGAAUAAGAAACGUUCAUGGGUAAGAAGCAUUACGAAGCAGCAGGGAUAACUGUGGGUGAUUUUCCUGACUAGAAUAUCAGUUAUUGGGAAAACAUGAAAAAGUAAGAAGCAGGGAAGGAAAGAUGCUGGGUAGUUAGAUUUAUGAUUUAUAUCAAAGCUAUUUGUAUUGCAAGGAAGCAAUCAUGUCAAGAGGAGAAAAUAGUUGUUAAAUUCCUCUGGGAGAUGUAUAGCUUGUGCGGGCUCAGAGCCUGCAGCUGAGACUCUAUCCUGAACAACGUUUGUAUGGGCUCAGUGCCCUCACUCAAGCACGGGCAAGGGACAGGGAACCUGCCCCUUAAACCUUUGUCCCUCUGUAUCCAAGACUGAAUGCUUCCACACAGCCAUAAUCUUUGAUCUCUUUGUUACCGUAUCACAAGGCUAUGCCAGACCUUCAGCUCUGUGUGGAGUGCUUGUUAUUAGUGAGUCUUAAUGCGUUAUGGGAGAUACUGACCCAUGAGGCAGGACUGGCCAUAUACCAGCACAGAUCCCACAACUGGAAGAUGGACAAAUAGACUCCAGACCAGGAACACUACAGGCUACUCCAGUUCUCCCAGCACAACUAUUCACAGCGGGUUGUUAGGGACUUCCAUUACUGGAUCAAUUGACCUAACCAGUCCAGGAAAAGGACAGAGAAUUAUGUGAAAUUGGAGGGUUUGUAUAUUAAACAAUCACAAGUGAGACUUCAAAAAAUUGUUACAGGAGAAAGGAGCCCAAAUUCUUCAAGGAGUGUUAUGGAUGGAAGUAGCUGUGUCUCACCAGCUUUUACAAAAUCUUCUGCUGGCCAACACCACUAUUUCUGUUCUUCCUAAGGUAAAAGGAUAGCUUUUAUUUAUGUUUAUCUCAUGCUACUUUAUAUACAUUCAUAACAAAUGCAUUUUAGCACUCAAAAAUGAGUUGCCAGUAUAUCAGAGUAGGACAUAACCUCCGCUUUAUUUUCUUUGUAUUUCUUGCAAAAGAGAAACAAGGAAUGAAUUAGAUUUCACCCUGUUUAUAUCUUUGUUUCCAGCUCUAAUCUUAGCAUCUAUUAAAAGAACAGAGCAAAUGGCUCUGGGAAUUGUUAUAUAUAUAUUUUUUUCUAAUCCGCUGAGGAAAAUAUAGAGCUGACAGUAAGGGAGCAUGAGUGGAUCAAAGCAUCUAUGCUUUCUUAUUGAGGGAGGUUGAGUCACAGCCAACUAAUUUUAUAGUAUAGUCAUAGUUGAUAAUAGAGCAAAUAAUUGGCAGAAAGGGACAAAGGAGACUAUUAAAAAUAAUCUCUGAAAGAUGUUUUCACAUCUGCCUUUUUCAGUAGCUGGACCAGAUCAAAAAAUAACAUACCUGAUUAAUGCAAUGAGUUCUAUCCAAUGCUAAUUCUAAAGAAAAUUUUAAUUAUGAAGUUACAAAUAACAAAAUGUUAGCUUAGCUCGUGUAUAAACUAAUGACUGAUUUUUGUCUCCUUUUUCUCAUCAUAUCAUUAGCCAUAAGAUAAAAUUCUAUGAAAAGUUUGCAUGACAUUCAAACAUCAUCAAGACAUGAUUCUAAACUGAGAUGAGAAACAAGAAGGAGCUGACAUAAGACUCCUUUUUGUAGAGGAAUGCUUUAGUUCAGAUCCUAAAGUAUUAUCUACAUUUGACAUUGUUAGUUAUUAGAACUAUUAAUUCAGGAACUUUGAGAAUCCUCCCUCAUCAUUUUGUAGUCAUCUAGAUCUUAGCCAUAGGCAUUUGCCUCUUGAGAACAGCGAACACAAGCAACUUGAGUAGUUACUUCAAAAAUACAGGAAAAGUAAGACUGCCAGUCUAGAACAUGAAAUAUUAUGCCAUUUCUGAUUUGCAUAAGGAAUGGGGGAAUCUGGGGUAUCCACCAGCCAGUUCAUGGAAGCUGCAAGGGCCGGUGGGAUGCUGAGGUGUGAGCAAGACACUACAUGAGGGACCAUUUACUGAAACUGUCAACACACAAAGCUGCCAAGGGAUAGUUGAGUUGUAAAAUGCUCCAGCUACCACAGGAGAUGCAUUACAUUAUUUCAGUAUGCAGAUAAAUUGCUAUCCAGCUCCUGGAAGCUGCUUUGUGAACAAAAUAGGGGAAUAAGAUAAACUUGCUCUCAAUCGAUGAAUAAUAUAAAACCAGCAAAAGGAGCAGAGCAUACUACUACAAUCCCUCAACUAUAUUAGGCAAUCAAUUUUUCGCCUUUCAAUAUGUAGAAUAUUCCCUUGCGGCUCUCUGUGGAUGCCAUGC